Molecule: ribosomal RNA, 353 nt
Filed under: uncultured bacterium
Lineage: Bacteria
Description: bacterial SSU rRNA
Rfam family: Bacterial small subunit ribosomal RNA
Source: RNAcentral
GGACCCGCACAAGCGGUGGAACAUGUGGUUUAAUUCGAUGCAACGCGAAGAACCUUACCUGGUCUUGACAUCCUGCGAACUUUCUAGAAAUAGAUUGGUGCCUUCGGGAACGCAGUGACAGGUGCUGCAUGGCUGUCGUCAGCUCGUGUCGUGAGAUGUUGGGUUAAGUCCCGUAACGAGCGCAACCCCUAUCCUUAUUUGCCAGCACAUUAUGGUGGGAACUAUAAGGAGACUGCCGGUGAUAAACCGGAGGAAGGCGGGGACGACGUCAAGUCAUCAUGGCCCUUACGACCAGGGCUACACACGUGCUACAAUGGGAUGGACAAAGAGUCGCGAAGCCGCAAGGUGUAGCU